CCUACGGGUGGCUGCAGUGAGGGAUAUUGCACAAUGGGCGCAAGCCUGAUGCAGCGACGCCGCGUGGGUGAUGACGGUUUUCGGACUGUAAAACCCUUUUCCAGGUGACGAGCAAGGACGGUAGCCUGGGAAUAAGUGUCGGCUAACUACGUGCCAGCAGCCGCGGUAAAACGUAGGACACGAGCGUUAUCCGGAGUUACUGGGCGUAAAGGGCGGGUAGGCGGUGCGAUAAGACUGGUGUGAAAGCCUUCGGCUUAACCGAGGGAGGACACUGG
RNAcentral lists this ribosomal RNA (275 nucleotides) under uncultured bacterium. Its description in RNAcentral is "partial 16S ribosomal RNA". It matches the Rfam family "Bacterial small subunit ribosomal RNA", at positions 338 to 629 of the family's 1533-position model. The record is from RNAcentral.